UGAGGAAUAUUGGUCAAUGGCCGCAAGGCUGAACCAGCCAAGUCGCGUGAGGGAAUAAGGCCCUAUGGGUCGUAAACCUCUUUUGUCAGGGAGCAAAGCCGCACACGAGUGAGCGGAAGGAGAGUACCUGAAGAAAAAGCAUCGGCUAACUCCGUGCCAGCAGCCGCGGUAAUACGGAGGAUGCGAGCGUUAUCCGGAUUUAUUGGGUUUAAAGGGUGCGCAGGCGGAGAGACAAGUCAGCGGUAAAAUUUCGGGGCUUAACCCCGGCGAGCCGUUGAAACUGUCUCCCUUGAGUGAGCGAGAAGUAAGCGGAAUGCGUGGUGUAGCGGUGAAAUGCAUAGAUAUCACGCAGAACGCCGAUUG
Molecule: ribosomal RNA, 363 nt
Filed under: uncultured Barnesiella sp.
Lineage: Bacteria; Pseudomonadati; Bacteroidota; Bacteroidia; Bacteroidales; Barnesiellaceae
Description: bacterial SSU rRNA
Rfam family: Bacterial small subunit ribosomal RNA
Source: RNAcentral